AAACAUUUCACUUUUUUCUAUCACUCAUGUUUCCGUUUCCAUUCAAUCAUUUGCAGAUGGAAAAAAAUUAAGCUAAAGUGCUCUUAGGUUUUUUCUAAUGCAUCCAAGAAGAUCUUUUAUAUUUUUUAAAAGUACAUUUUUCUCUUGCAUAGAAUCUGAAAUCUAUUAGCUAUCCAUGUCCAAUGGUUUUCCCUUUCCCACAGAUCAGACUAAGCAAACUCCUGGCAGGAAGUCACCAGAAAUCUACUUGCCGGGUACUACCAUAUUCCUUCAUAAAAAAUGGCCUGGAAAGUGCUAGCAAUGCCCUAUUCCUCCUAUCCAUUUCUAACCUCUACCUAAGGAAAGAGGUGAAGAGAAGCAGAGGAGGACUGACCAAAUCAUAACCAGUUGUUGCACAGUGGUGAUCAUAACUGAAGAUAUACAACCAAGAAGACAUUAUUGCUGACCUAAUAUCAUAAGGAAAAAAAUCAAAUCCAAAUCACAGUCAAGUUGAAGAAUGUUGGUGGGAC
RNAcentral lists this long non-coding RNA (509 nucleotides) under Fukomys damarensis (Damara mole-rat). RNAcentral describes it as "lncRNA (ENSFDAG00000030619.1)". Lineage: Eukaryota; Metazoa; Chordata; Mammalia; Rodentia; Bathyergidae. The record is from RNAcentral.